This 759-nucleotide ribosomal RNA is filed under the name uncultured bacterium. RNAcentral's name for it is "bacterial SSU rRNA". It matches the Rfam family "Bacterial small subunit ribosomal RNA", at positions 28 to 776 of the family's 1533-position model. The record is from RNAcentral.
GAUGAACGCUAGCUACAGGCUUAACACAUGCAAGUCGAGGGGCAUCAGGAAGAAAGCUUGCUUUCUUUGCUGGCGACCGGCGCACGGGUGAGUAACACGUAUCCAACCUGCCCUUUACUCGGGGAUAGCCUUUCGAAAGAAAGAUUAAUACCCGAUAGCAUAAUGAUUCCGCAUGGUUUCAUGAUUAAAGGUAUUCCGGUAGACGAUGGGGAUGCGUUCCAUUAGAUAGUAGGCGGGGUAACGGCCCACCUAGUCUUCGAUGGAUAGGGGUUCUGAGAGGAAGGUCCCCCACAUUGGAACUGAGACACGGUCCAAACUCCUACGGGAGGCAGCAGUGAGGAAUAUUGGUCAAUGGGCGAGAGCCUGAACCAGCCAAGUAGCGUGAAGGAUGACUGCCCUAUGGGUUGUAAACUUCUUUUAUAAAGGAAUAAAGUCGGGUAUGGAUACCCGUUUGCAUGUACUUUAUGAAUAAGGAUCGGCUAACUCCGUGCCAGCAGCCGCGGUAAUACGGAGGAUCCGAGCGUUAUCCGGAUUUAUUGGGUUUAAAGGGAGCGUAGGUGGACUGGUAAGUCAGUUGUGAAAGUUUGCGGCUCAACCGUAAAAUUGCAGUUGAUACUGUCAGUCUUGAGUACAGUAGAGGUGGGCGGAAUUCGUGGUGUAGCGGUGAAAUGCUUAGAUAUCACGAAGAACUCCGAUUGCGAAGGCAGCUCACUGGACUGCAACUGACACUGAUGCUCGAAAGUGUGGGUAUCAAACAGG